RNAcentral lists this ribosomal RNA (557 nucleotides) under uncultured bacterium. Its description in RNAcentral is "bacterial SSU rRNA". It matches the Rfam family "Bacterial small subunit ribosomal RNA", at positions 102 to 694 of the family's 1533-position model. The record is from RNAcentral. RNAcentral also lists the same sequence under 1 other name.
ACGGGUGAGUAACACGUGGGAACGUACCCUUCGAUCUGGGAUAACUUCGGGAAACUGGAGCUAAUACCGGAUACGCCCUUUGGGGGAAAGGUUUACUGUCGAAGGAUCGGCCCGCGUCUGAUUAGCUAGUUGGUGGGGUAACGGCCUACCAAGGCGACGAUCAGUAGCUGGUCUGAGAGGAUGAUCAGCCACACUGGGACUGAGACACGGCCCAGACUCCUACGGGAGGCAGCAGUGGGGAAUAUUGGACAAUGGGCGCAAGCCUGAUCCAGCCAUGCCGCGUGAGUGAUGAAGGCCUUAGGGUUGUAAAGCUCUUUUGUCCGGGACGAUAAUGACGGUACCGGAAGAAUAAGCCCCGGCUAACUUCGUGCCAGCAGCCGCGGUAAUACGAAGGGGGCUAGCGUUGCUCGGAAUCACUGGGCGUAAAGGGCGCGUAGGCGGCCAUUUAAGUCGGGGGUGAAAGCCUGUGGCUCAACCACAGAAUUGCCUUCGAUACUGGAUGGCUUGAGUUCGGUAGAGGUUGGUGGAACUGCGAGUGUAGAGGUGAAAUUCGUAGA